CCUGGAACCACUUGGCGUGCCGCAGUGACGCCAAGGCAGCAAGGCAUUUCUGCCUGUCCAGAACGUCCGGGGAGUCGGUGACUGAUAGCGUUUCUCCAGCGAGCUGCUUCUCCAUCUCCUCCCGCACCACCGGCGACGUCAGGUGGAUGGUCAGCGUCAGCGGCGGCUCCUUCGUGUUCUUGAUGACGAUGGCGGCGUCGCCGACCGCCUGGAUGAUCUCGUAUUUGUCCUCGGUGAUGGCCGCCAGCUGCACGCCCAGAUUGUCGGCCACCUUCUGCAGCAGCUCGGAGGUGGGUUUGUCCUUGCACAGCAGGACCAGCUCCAGGUCCAGGUCCCCCUUCAGCAGCAGCCCUUUGGCCACCAGCCCCACGCGCAUCACGCCGCGAAGGGUCCGCGUCAGCUGCUCCGCCGCCUUCUGAUCCC
RNAcentral lists this long non-coding RNA (423 nucleotides) under Gallus gallus (chicken). The record is from RNAcentral. Lineage: Eukaryota; Metazoa; Chordata; Aves; Galliformes; Phasianidae.